This 72-nucleotide transfer RNA is filed under the name Fukomys damarensis (Damara mole-rat). It matches the Rfam family "tRNA". Rfam says of the family: Transfer RNA (tRNA) molecules are approximately 80 nucleotides in length. Their secondary structure includes four short double-helical elements and three loops (D, anti-codon, and T loops). The record is from Rfam by way of RNAcentral. Lineage: Eukaryota; Metazoa; Chordata; Mammalia; Rodentia; Bathyergidae.
AGGGAUAUAGCUCAGCGGUACAGCACCUGUCUAGUAAGCAUGAGGUCCUGAGUUUGAUUUUCGGUACCCCCA